Molecule: ribosomal RNA, 440 nt
Filed under: uncultured bacterium
Lineage: Bacteria
Description: partial 16S ribosomal RNA
Rfam family: Bacterial small subunit ribosomal RNA
Source: RNAcentral
CCUACGGGUGACAGCAGUGGGGAAUAUUGCACAAUGGGGGAAACCCUGAUGCAGCGACGCCGCGUGAGUGAAGAAGGAUUUCGGGACGUAAAGCUCUAUCAGCAGGGAAGAAAAUGACGGUAACUGACUAAGAAGCCCCGGCUAACGACGGCCCAGCAGCCGCGGUAAUACGGAGGGGGCAAGCGUUAUCCGGAGUUACUGGGUGUAAAGGGAGCGUAGACGGCAGCGCAAGUCUGAAGUGAAAUCCCCUGGCUUAACCAUGGAACUGCUUUGGAAACUGUGCAGCUGGAGUGCAGGAGAGGUAAGCGGAAUUCCUAGUGUAGCGGUGAAAUGCGUAGAUAUUAGGAGGAACACCAGUGGCGAAGGCGGCUUACUGGACUGUAACUGACGUUGAGGCUCGAAAGCGUGGGGAGCAAACAGGAUUAGAUACCCCAGUAGUC